CUAGUACUCGCGCUGUGACAUGUG
Molecule: microRNA, 24 nt
Filed under: Heliconius melpomene (postman butterfly)
Lineage: Eukaryota; Metazoa; Arthropoda; Insecta; Lepidoptera; Nymphalidae
Description: Hme-Mir-2-P7_5p* (star (passenger))
Source: RNAcentral